Long non-coding RNA from Drosophila subobscura, 773 nucleotides. RefSeq lists it as uncharacterized. The transcript is spliced from 3 exons. The record is from RefSeq and is a predicted model, not a curated record. Lineage: Eukaryota; Metazoa; Arthropoda; Insecta; Diptera; Drosophilidae.
AUGUACAUAACCUACAUAUAGCUUACGCAUUUCCUCGUGGUGAAAUUUUUGUGCAUAAACCGUUUAUUCUGAGAAAUCUCUGUGGAUCGGUGCUAGUACCAAGCGUGAAUAAUAAUUAACCAAGGACAGAGGUCAGGAGCCCGUUUCGUCGUUGCAGCCUGAGUGCGCAUAAGUACAUAGACGGGGUGCUCCACGAGAGGAGUAUCACCGAAGUGAUCCUCCAACCUAAAAGGGGUACCCUUCGACCCCCCUCUACUGACGGAAACGCUGAGCACCGAAAACCUCUGACUUGGGUCAACUUUAUUGAGGCGUCGCAACCCUUAGGAAGCCCAGUGCAAAAGGGGGCGCCUCGGAACUUUAUUCAACUCCAGUGAGAAGACCAGUUUGUCGCGCACUGUAGUGCCAAUGUAAGCUGCAGCUUGACCUGCAGUCGGAUGUUCCCCGCUUAAGCCCAGUGUGAAGAAGACCAGAACAUUGGGCGUGAUAUUUGACGGGCAUGCCUACAGAGUAGCCGCCGCCGACGCUACAGAAAGAUGUCCGUAGUUGCUCUGUGUUAACUUACACAUUUUCGGGAUUUGAGUUAAUAUGCCUUUUUAAGGCCAAUUCUCUGGCGGAGAUAUAUAGAAAUGUAUUUUUUUGAGCAUCGGGAAUUAUGAGUGUUGGUAGAAAAGAGUGGAAACCAGCACCUACGUCAUCCAUGAGCUCAUCGAUUACGAAAGGAGUAAGGGUUUUAAAAUAUCAAAACCAAACGAAAACUGUGAGUUUGUAAACUU